CCUACGGGGUGCUGCAGUGGGGAAUAUUGGGCAAUGGGCGCAAGCCUGACCCAGCAAUGCCGCGUGAAGGAAGAAGGCUUUCGGGUUGUAAACUUCUUUGACAGGGGAAGAGCAGAAGACGGUACCCUGAAAACAAGCCACGGCUAACUACGUGCCAGCAGCCGCGGUAAUACGUAGGUGGCAAGCGUUGUCCGGCUUUACUGGGUGUAAAGGGCGUGUAGCCGGGAAGGCAAGUCAGAUGUGAAAUCUGGAGGCUCAACCUCCAAAUUGCAUUUGAAACUGUUUUUCUUGAGUACUGGAGAGGCAGACGGAAUUCCUUGUGUAGCGGUGAAAUGCGUAGAUAGAAGGAGGAACACCAGUGGCGAAGGCGGUCUGCUGGACAGCAACUGACGGUGAGGCGCGAAAGCGUGGGGAGCAAACAGGAUUAGAUACCCCGGUAGUC
RNAcentral lists this ribosomal RNA (442 nucleotides) under uncultured bacterium. Its description in RNAcentral is "partial 16S ribosomal RNA". It matches the Rfam family "Bacterial small subunit ribosomal RNA", at positions 338 to 795 of the family's 1533-position model. The record is from RNAcentral.